This 349-nucleotide small RNA is filed under the name Arabidopsis thaliana (thale cress). RNAcentral describes it as "ATSL016820". Lineage: Eukaryota; Viridiplantae; Streptophyta; Magnoliopsida; Brassicales; Brassicaceae. The record is from RNAcentral.
AAAAGAAAAACGGGAGGAGAUCGAACCGGACAGAAACGAAAGCAACCACCAAGCCUGGUAAGAGGCUAAACGAGAAGAAGGCUAAAACAUGACCGGAUCAAGAGGCGCUACUAGCAACAUAGACCAACCCACAAAAACAACAUAAGCCAUCUAAGAACCAUUCGAAAAUCCCUACACCACAACGCACAUAAACUAAGUAAAAGCAACAUAAACUUUACAACAGAGCAAGAGACGCAUAGCUCCGGCGCUAUGGAAGCCACCAAAGCCAGCCAACGCAAACUGAGAUCUAGAUCUACUUUUAGAGAGAAUGAAGAGGUUUUAGAGUCCUCCAUUCUUUACACAAAUUAUU